UCAAACACAAUAAUACAAAAUAGACGAA
RNAcentral lists this non-coding RNA (28 nucleotides) under Bombyx mori (domestic silkworm). The record is from RNAcentral. Lineage: Eukaryota; Metazoa; Arthropoda; Insecta; Lepidoptera; Bombycidae.